UACGUAGGGUGCGAGCGUUAAUCGGAAUUACUGGGCGUAAAGCGUGCGCAGGCGGUUCGUUGUGUCGGUGGUGAAAUCCUGGAGCUCAACUCCAGAACUGCCUUCGAUACUGAGAGUCUCGAGUCCGAGAGAGGUGAGUGGAACUGCGAGUGUAGAGGUGAAAUUCGUAGAUAUUCGCAAGAACACCAGUGGCGAAGGCGGCUCACUGGCUCGGUACUGACGCUGAGGUGCGAAAGCGUGGGGAGCAAACAGG
RNAcentral lists this ribosomal RNA (253 nucleotides) under uncultured bacterium. RNAcentral's name for it is "partial 16S ribosomal RNA". It matches the Rfam family "Bacterial small subunit ribosomal RNA", at positions 524 to 776 of the family's 1533-position model. The record is from RNAcentral.